AGUCCUAUUCUGAUUGGAUCAAGAUCAAAUUUUUCUUGUAAUCUGACUUGACCAAAUCAAAUUCGAUCUAAGUCAAACUGAAUCUAAUUUAAUUAGAAUUAAUCCAAAGCUCUUUGCUCAAUCAAAUUGAGUCAAUUAGUAAUCUAAUUACUAAUUAAUUCUUCAUUAAUAGUAGAGUCUCAGUCCAGUGAGACUCUCCUCCAGAGUUCUAGUCCCAGUGGGACUCCUCACCAGAGUCACAAUCCAAUUAGACUCUUCAACCAUCAGAUCUAUCCAAAUCUUCUAAUAUGUGUGAUCCUAUAGAUUCGAACCUAAGUCGGUAGCAUAGGAAUAACUUCUCAUACUAAUCGAUGUAACCAUCUAGUAAUGAAACCCGAUGUCUGGAUAGGUCGAAAGAUUGCAAAGCAAUAUUCUAGGAUC
This 420-nucleotide long non-coding RNA is filed under the name Elaeis guineensis (African oil palm). RNAcentral describes it as "long non-coding RNA (EGUI_LNC048037)". The record is from RNAcentral. Lineage: Eukaryota; Viridiplantae; Streptophyta; Magnoliopsida; Arecales; Arecaceae.